CAUAGAUUGGAAAGUAUUGGUAUUCUUAAAAUUCCAUUGAAUAUUAUUGUGAUUAAACGUAUUGCUUUUCGGGGGAAGAUUUUUCAAGAUUUUACCAUUGAUUAGGUCGAUUCCUUGUGCUUUAUUGUCUUUUGUGUUCUCGAUUAUGAUUCUAAUUUCUUGUGCUGUUGUAUUAGGUAUGGUGUAGGGCUUGCUAGUUGGGGUACUAGUAUUUUGCGAAUCUUAGACUGAAUGACGUUUGGUUUUACUGUUGUUAAUAUUAUAUGGAAUAAGUCCAUAGUUAAAGUGACUGCUCUGUAGUUAUAAGAACAAGUGAAGUUCGUUCUUGUGUGAUUACGGAGGAAAGCCCGGAGUGGGUGUCUUUGUUGUAUGAAG
RNAcentral lists this unclassified non-coding RNA (375 nucleotides) under Bombus terrestris (buff-tailed bumblebee). RNAcentral's name for it is "misc RNA ENSBTSG00005036928.1". The record is from RNAcentral. Lineage: Eukaryota; Metazoa; Arthropoda; Insecta; Hymenoptera; Apidae.